Molecule: long non-coding RNA, 2522 nt
Organism: Daphnia carinata
Lineage: Eukaryota; Metazoa; Arthropoda; Branchiopoda; Diplostraca; Daphniidae
Exons: 4
Source: RefSeq, a predicted model, not a curated record
UCCUUCCGUUUAUUUUAUUUUUUAUUUUUAUUCAUGUUCACUUUCUAUUUGCUUUUGUAGAACAAAUAACGACAUGCAUCUUUCAAGAGGAAAUAGACCUAGUCGGAGGGAAGCUUGCCAUGACGACGCAAAAGACUAGGAGGCCGAAUUCCACAAAGGAUGUCAUGGAGUAAGAAGAUAAUGCAAGAGAGGCGGUGGUAUACUGCCGGGGGUAAGUUGCCAUGCUUUUCAUUUGCAGCUUUGAUGUUGCGCUAUUGAACAUCCCUGCAGGCAAAAAAGAAAAGUUUUUGGCCUUUGAAGCUGAACACAGUUGUGCUUUCGUAUCUAUUUGAAGAACACGGACAGAGUUCAAUAUCCCAAGAUCUUGGGCUUUUAGGAUUCCGCCAAUGGUCGAUUGUGACCAUUACAUGGAUUCGUUUAUUUUUUUUUCUUGCCUUUUACACCUAGAAUUAUUCACGUUCUUUAAUGAAGGCAGCCAACUUCAAUUUUGUUUGUUACGAGAAAAGAUAAUCAUUCAUAAAGGCAAGCUUUAUGGAUGGCUGCGUCUUAUUUUUCAUUACCGUUUGCAUUUCUUUAAAAGAAAAAAAAAGUUUGGCAUCCAACCGCAAGGCGAUUUGAUGAACAAUGUCCUGUGUGGCCAGAUCAAUAACGUGCCGUUCUAUAUAAAGCGAGAACCUGAAAUCAGAUUGAUUAUAUAGGCGUCGUUAGAUAUGAACACACAAAUACACACAUUCCUCUUUUAUGUCCAUCGGCUGCAAAAUUGGAAUCCUGCCCGUUUACGUUAUCGUCUGUAGAUAAAUUUUUCUGAAGAAUGAUCCAUUGCGAAAAAUGCAAUGAAUCGAAAGAAAAAAAAAGGAGAUUAAACGAUCGAUUCCGUGUUCGCUUGAAAAAAGACGAUUGCUUUGUCGAUUGAAGGAGGACAUUCUGCGAAAAUACAAGACGGUGAAUAUGCUCAAUCACAGUCGACAUGUACGGACUUCGUCAACCUCAUACAAACUAUUACUAGUACAAGUUUGCGGAGAUAUCGCUGGACAAUCUACGCAUCCUAUUCACCACACGUGAGAAUUUCAGAGUUGCGUACGUCUGGAACGAUAACAAAGGAGGAAAGAUAAAUCUUGCAUUGCGUAUCGGAUAUACUCAAAGAAAGUGCACCGAUUCUUCAGAAAUCGACACCUUUUUAAGAGAUGAAAGAACCAUGUCUUUGGCUAAAUAAAAGUUGGAUUCGUCUUAAAACGAAAACGCAGUUUAUUAUGGAAAAUGCGACACACACAAGCGCCGACUAGUGAUGGAUCUGUUCCAUUUGCACAAGAGCGAAAUCUUUAGGAGUUUCACGCCCAGCGGAUCGAUGACGACGUCACGAGUUGGCUGGAAAUGACAUCCGCGCAAAACUUUUUUGCUUUCGUUGAUCUCAAACAAUCGAUGCUUCAGUUAACUCACUCACGUCCUGUUUGGCAUCCAGCCUUAGGCUAGAUAGCUGAUUAAGGACCUCACUUCGGGUUCACGUUUCUUUGUCGUAUAUUUUAGCCAACUAUAGAUGCACUACGUGGUCGCAUUGCCAAUGACCGGAAUCGAUCCGAAAAAAAAACGCAUUCUGAUUCGUCGUGGAUGAGACAUUCGUUUUUUUUUUUUGCACGACGUUGGGAGAGUCACGUAAAGAAAUUUCUCUUCACGGUUUGCAUCCAAACCCAAUCUACGAGUGCAUGAUGAUGGUCUGACAGGAGUAAAUCAAUUUCACUUCCGCUUGAGAUCGUUCAACAGCCUCUCUCGACGAACAAGAAAAAGGAUAGAAGCUAAAAAGAAAAUUAAAAGGAGGCCCUGCGGCACGAAAACUUUGAACGUAAACCACUUGGUUACAUAAAUGUCAUUUUCGAUUUUUUUUUUUUUGACGACAGACGGGAGGAUAGGUAAGGAAAUGACAAACAAAAUGGGGCGUUUUCUCAUCAUUCCUGCGUUAGGGGGGGGGAGGAAAAAAAUCGAUAAAUGUAAUUAUGUUUUUUUGUUUUGCCAGUUUUUAUCUCGACACAAAGUAGAAUGGACCUUGUUUUUUUUUCCUUUGUCCUCUUUGUUAUUGCAAGUUAAUGGCUGCCAGUGCUAGUAAUUAGAUUAAGUUCCAUUUGAAAAGAACGUGGCAAGCUUUGACAUGUUUCUCGUGUAACAGGUUUUUGAUUCUUUGCGUUGUACACACUCCAAUAAAGAAAUACGUGGAAAUAAGAAAACAAUCCAAAUCACAGUGAACAAUCUUUUCAAGGAAUAUAUAUGUGUGUGUGUGUGUGUGUGCAUCUACUUUGUUUUCCUGGAGCUUCGUCUCAUCCAUUAAAGUAGUAAGUUUCUUAUUUUUGUUUGUUUCCUAUGAAUUUGUUCACACGGUGUUCGCUUUUUCUAUGCAAAACACUUUCCAAGUAGUUUAUUUUUUGUGUGUGUAAAAAGUGUUAGAUCAUUGUAUGAAUUUUGAAACGUGAUUAUCCUGGCGGGGAUGAAGAUUGGUCGUGAAAAAAAUCGUGUUCUCCACCAUCCAAGUUUUG